CUAAUUCCCAACAUUCGUAUCUUCUAUUACACCAGGCAGCCUUCGGAUGAAUGACUGUCCUUCUUCCCUUUUCUGAAUUUCUUAUCUCCGUCUCAUCCUUCCAUGGUCCUCCCACCCAAGCUCUCUCUGAUAUUGCUCCUUCCUACUUCACCCCCCACGUGGCUUACUUUUCCCAGGCUGUCACCUCUCCCAUUUCAUGCCAUCUGUCACCCAAGCAGGUGCCUCUGUGAGGACUGUGUGUCCUAGGUUUAGCACACUGCUGGUAUUCAGAACACAGAACAUGGAACCUCAUGGCUACAUCCUCAGAUGCUGAGAUGUUAGCUGGGUGUCACAAGAUCAAGGACAUAAAUAAACCCUUCACAGCCUAAAUCUGUUGGAAACCAGAAAGCAAGCAAGGCCAUAGCUUGUUAACACCAGGCUUUCUUGGAACAGUUAUCAGGUGCCCAGAGAUGGAAGCCACCCUGACUGGGGAUGAGCAGUUACUUCACCAACUCAAACUGGCUUAGACGGUCAGUGCUACCACCUGGCAUGUCAACAAAGGAUGGAGGAAGUGCAGUGCUGCUCCCCGCAAUGAUAUGAGCUGCAAUGGUGUCCUUUGGGCUGAUUUCCUCUCUCCACCCACGUCCGAAGUUUUGGGGCGUCUCUUUAGAGUUCUUUCUCUCUAGCCACAAGUCCUGCAGGCCAUUGGAAGACUAGGCUGCAGAAAGCUCAAACUGUUCCUUCCAUUUUGGGACCAGGGAACAGAGCUCACUUAAUGCUGCUCUCCCACUGAUGAUGCCCACCCAUUCUCGGCCUGCAAGCCCUACCACUCACAGCUUCAAAAAUGGCUCCGCCCUUCCUGAUUCCACCCCACACAGAAGAAAGCAACUUCUUGUGAUGCUUCCUUAUUCUGGAUGUGGCUCACCUCUUACCCCUUCCAACUCCUUUGGGUCCCCUAGAAAGCCUCCCUGGCUAAGGGGUACAGGCCCUCUCCUCAGCAGUGGGCACUGACCGUCUAACCAGGGCUCUGUCUCGGCACCUGGUAGCAAGGACGGCAAGAUACAACAACAUGCUGAUUUUAAUAGCCUCUGGCUUUCUCCACUGCGUUUCUCACCUGAAUGCCCUGCACACCAAAUCUUCCAUGGGGUCACCCUUGACCUCUAGGGCAAUUCCCAAGAAUCUAGCAGAGGAGUGGGGGAAACCAAAAGGCUGACAUGAAGGACUCAAGGGAAGCCUCUGGAAAGAAGAGACCAGACACUAAAAGGGAUGUGUGUGAAAUACUGGUUUUUAUUGGUUGGCACAAGAUUACAACCUACAAUUUCAAUGCCCUUCCCUCCCACACAGCUCAAAUGGAAGGAAACUGAUUAACACAUAGAAAGGAACGGCAGGCUCACAGGUUUAAGCAUUUGUUUUUACAAAAAGGAGUGGGAUAUGGGGGUGGUCAAGUUUUACGGGUAAUAACAACAUUCUCUCUAGAUGGCAGGGGGUAAGUCUGCCUGUCCUCCAUUGCUGGUACCACAUAAGGGAUACAUUAGUAAAGUAGGGAAAGGGUUAUAUGUGUGGCUGGCCUGUUCUUUAGAGAGGAAGGUGGGAUGGUAUCUGCUGUGUACCUGUCUCAGACCAAACCUGGGGCUGGACCAGUGCCCCUUUCUUCUCAGCCCUCCUCCACAGCCUGACUGUACUGCCAGCCGCACCCAUGAGAAGGAGGUGUGAAGGAAGCCUGAGGACAUCCACCUCGAGAAAAGGAAACAGGAAAACUAUUUCCUUCCGCCUUCUCUGGACCAAAUUUCACUCCCCUCAGCUCCAGAGAGUGCUGCAAAAAUCUUCCUUAGGGACGCUGUGAAGACACGGGGAAGAGGCCAGCCCUGAGCGGGCAAGAAGAAAAGCUUGAACUUUCCAUGCAGUACCAAGCAAGGCUAUUUUGGAAACAAGCAAACAAACAAAAAAUGGAAACCAACACCAUAUAACCACAGGUUGGGUAGCUCCUAAAUCCUGGACAGCAUUUGGAUUGGGGGUAAGGGCAAUUUUACUCCAGCUCCUUGUUUUAUAACCCGCACAAGGUGCCAAGAGGUUUAAGGACCACAACUGACCUCUCUUUCCCUACAAGCACCAUUCCUUGGAUUCCCAGUUUUGUUGAGCUCAUUUGAGGUCAUCCUUGCCAUCCUCUUAAAAAAUGACACAGCCUCUUGGUUAUUCCAUUUUCUAUCCCUUUCUACAAUUAUGAACACACUCUCUAAACAGGAGAUCUAUAUAUGCUCUCAUCCUGCAACCCAAGAGAUUAGGUGACCUAAUGAUGAGAAGGCUAACUUAUUUGCUUUCCUGGGUGGUCCUGAUGGAAAUGAACAGCAGCAGAGUUCUGGUGGGAUAGAGCAGUCUAGUCUGAGCCACUGUGUGAUUCCCCAGGGGACUGGUCCCUGGGUACAUGGGUCCCUGGCUCUCUGUCUCAGUUCCACAGAUAUUACUCAACUUGGCCAUUUACGCCUCAGCUAAAACAUAUGAGCAUGAGGGAAAAGGGACAAGAAAUACUUUUGUCCUCUAGAAAAACUUAACUCAAUACAUCUUGGCUACUUUGCCUCAACCCACGGGGUUCCCUGGAAACAUUUGUUGAACUUGGCCAAGAGGAGAUUGUAUAUGGAUGGCACACCUGGAAAAGGGGAGAAAGCACACUAGUUCAUCUCUUUUAUAAGUAGAAUGGUCCCAGGGAUGUUAACCUUUCUGAUGCUGAUAGUAGAUGAGUGGAGUGGAGGUAAUCGUGAGAAAACUUAAAAACCCUUAAGCUGUUUGGAGACUACACACCACAGUGGAGCAAACCAAGGUGGGGCCUCACUGCCUCCUCAGAGCCCAUCCCUGACCAUGUCAUUGGAUAGGAUGGAAGACAAAGUCUUUGAAAUGGAGGCUGGGCUGGCAAAAGUAAGUAUGAAGAUGCUACUACUGGCCUUCCACUUCCUCUCUCUGAUACACCUAAGAAGGUGAGAGACACUAGCUUCAAUUCCAUUUUACAACAGUUCUCAACAACCUGAAAUAUUCUUGACUUCCUUAAGCACAUGGAAAACUGGUAAGCUAUAUCUUUCUAACUGAAAUUUUACUUAUUCUAACCACCAACCUUUUCUUUGAUUAUCAACCAGUUUGACAGUCUUCAGAUCACAAAACAAUAGAACAGACCUGACAUUUACAAAACUGUACUACAUACUUAUUUCUUUUACAGUAGAGCUGACCAAUUACUUUUCUAACUACUAAUGCAACACCAUGCCACUGGGCCCUGGACUCUGAUGUUUCUGAUCCCUGAGCAACACAUCUAUGUCCAUUCACAGAUGGAAAUGAAAGAGUGAGAUUCUCAGAGGCUAAACAACAUUCUGGGAGCAAAUUGGAUUUUUGAAGGGAGAGUCCUCUUAGAAAAUUCUGAGCAAACAUGCUCCCAGUCACGAGGGAUGGGGUGAGCGGGCAGGUUUCUGUCUGUGAGCUAUAGCUCCCUUCUGAACUCCCUCAUGUUCUUGGGAGGACACAAGCCUCUUGCUCAUUAAGCAAAGGCCCUCCAAGUCUCCUUUUUACUUCAGCACUUUGGAAACUCUCCAAGACUUAACUUCCGAUCUGGGGAGGUUCUACGUGGAGCAGACCUAUCCCUUCUUAUUCCUGUUCCUGGGUGUCUCCAUAAUCAGCCUCUACCUUCCCUGGCAUAAGUCAUAUCUGUUAUGCUGCAGGAACUGAGUAACCAAAGCUAGAUAUCCCUUGGACCACUGAUUAGUGACACAUUUUCUCCACAACAAAGGGAGGUUAAAGACAAAGGUUUAACCUGAGAAACUUUUUUUUUGGCAAGAUAAUAAAGAGGUUAAAGAGGCUACGUGGAUCUGUCACUGCUUUAGCUUACCAUUUUCAAUUCAGCACCAAAGUGCUCAGAAAGACAGGCUCAGAUCAGGACGACUUCUUAAAGGGAUUCACAGGCAAUAUUACUGGCAAAAUGAUUUUCCAAAGCUGAGCCACGCGCCCCACCCUACAGGGAGGGGAGUAGAAUCUUAUGGCCCAGCAUUGGCAUUGAGGCAUCUUGCUUUUUUUCCUCAGAAUUCCACAAAGGCUUAAGAGUGAUCUAAAUGCCUGGCUGGAAGCUCAAGUCUAGGAGAGCUAUUUUACUGCACUGUUGAGAUGUUCUCUGCAAGGUAGUCACAGAUAAUAAGCAAUUUAGUAGAUAAUUAUUCUAUACAAGAAUUAAUGUUCUCUGAAACAGUGAUUAAUAGAAUCUUCACAUCUGGCCUGGCUGGGAGGCUUGGGGGCAGGAAAGGGAGGGUGGAAGGAUGGGUAGCACAUCAAAAUGGUGAUGAACCUGGCAAAACGACAAUGCUGCUGUUUUUGUAUCCUUUAAAGCCUAUAUCCAGGGUUUUAAAUGACGCUUUUUUUGUGUGCUUCCUGAUAGGAAGUCAAAUAAGUUUUAGUAUUAAGAACUGGGGAUAUAAACCAAAGGAAACCUAGAGUCAACUGACUGCUGGAGGAACAGAAGCAAUGACUUCUUUCCACCUUCUAGAUAGUAAUCUUACUUUUGUUGGCUAAAAGCACUUUCUUCAGCAUUCUGAGUUAACACGGGUUCCCUAUAAGCUCCCCUCCCCAGGUGGACAGUCUUAUUUUCUAAGACAAGCUCAAAGCUCAAACUCACCAAAUUACCACUAUAAACAAAGCUUCAGGGAAGAGACAUAACCUUACUUCAAAAGCUUCAGGUCAGAGACAGCCAAAAUCAUGUGACUGCUAGCCUCAGCUCAAGUAGUGUGCCCAAAUCAUCACAAAAUGGGAUUCCCUUCCCUUUUCUUUUUUUUUUUUUUUUUUUUGAGACGGAGUCUUGCUCUGUCGCCUAGGCUGCAGUGCAGUGGCGGGAUCUCGGCUCACUGCAACAUCCACCUCCUGGGUUCAAGCGAUUCUCCUGCCUCAGCCUCCCGAGUAGCUGGGACUACAGGAGCGUGCCACUACACCUGGCUAAUUUUUGUAUUUUUAGUAGAGAUGGGGUUUCACCAUAUUGGUCAGGCUGGUCUUGAACUCCUGACCUUGUGAUCCACCCGCCUCGGCCUCCCAAAGUGCUGGGAUUACAGGCGUGAGCCACCAUGACCAGCCCUCCAUUUAUUAAUUUAUAAGGGGACUAGAAGGACAAACUAUUUGAUUAAUUUGAAGGUGAGAGGUAUCAUUUUCUCAGAUGCUCCAACUAGGCUUCUCACAUCCCUCAAAGGUUAUCAGCUAAAGACAAGAGUUUCUGAGGCUAAUGCAAAAACAUGGUCAAAUGUGAAACCGCCCUUUUAGAGGCAGGGUUUGUGAAAGGCUGCUGGCCUCCAAAGGAGAGUAUGCCUAAACUCUCUGGGCUCCCAGGACCUGUGGUGACCUCAAGCUAACCUGAUGCACAGACAACAGUAUCUUUUAGGGACUGCAGCCAAUGUUCCCCAAUUUACUUUUUUUUUAUACCUUAAAAUAUCAAAUGUUUCAUUUUUAGGUGAUAUCCCAAGUGACACAGAAACACAGCUCCUCCGGAUGGUGAAGUCUCCGCUGCAAAACUCACGAAACAGCACAGAGGAUGACUCUAGGGUGCUCUCCCACUUGCUCCAAGUUAGGCAGGUGCCCUGAUGGAGGCAAGGCUGAGCCAUUAACAUGCACAGCUCCAUAUCCUGGAAGCCUCUGUAGCCUUGAGGAGAUAGGCUCUAUCCAACAGGACUCAGAAUAAAUGACUGCCACCUCAACUGAGCAGUAUGAACUGCCCACCUCAACUGGGCAGUCUGACCUCUUCCACAGUCUUUAAGAAACAGAAGAGCCAUUUGCAUUAUUUAAUCACCAUUCAAUAAUCUCCUCCCUCCCCAUAGCUGCUUGAGUUAACUGUCCCACAAGUGUCCUGUGUUUUGUAAAGAUGAGGGUUAUUUUCUGAAAUGCAGAUGGGACUAGGAUGAAGCUGUAUUAUCAAUUACAGAGACAGCCAACUCUCAUUUCUCUUAAAGCAAAAAUUCAUUCCACUGUGAUUUCUCCAGGUAUUUCCUGCAAUUCUAAAUCCGCCCUUGAUAUUAGAGAAUAUUAAAAUCACACAGUUGUGGCAAAAAUCACAUUGUGGCUAUUAAAUCCUUUUUGUGAACUAAAAAAAGUGAAUGUGGCUUAGGCUAAGCUGUUUUUUUUUUUUUUUUUUUAAAGAUGAGGAUGCGGACUCCAACAAAGGCAUUAAGAAAGUACUAGAUGAAAAUGAGAAAUAUGUGAAGGAUAACAUGUGAAAUGUACACUCAGGUCUAACAAAUACCUAUUAUUUCUCUGGUUAAGAAGGUUUAGCAGGAGCCUCCAAUGAGCACUGUAUGUAGAGAAAAGGGAAGGAGCAGGAGGAGGAACAGAUCUGCACAGAAUUUUUUUCUUAAAAACCACAAAGGGUGACUUUUUUCUUCUAAGCAAGCAAGCCUGAGAGGCAUUACAUGGGCUGGCUCCUAAUAUCAAAACAAAAUAUUUCUUUGCCACAAAGGAACUUGACUAUGUAGCAACACAUUUACAAAACUACUGCAAAACACUCCCAGAGGGCAGUGACCUACUCUGCUCCCCAGAGGCUCCAAGAAGCAAGGCCUCAAGUGCCUCAUGUUCCAUGGGGCUGUGCAGUGCAAUGCAGAAGGCGGAAAUCCUGCUGUGACGCCACCCUCGAGACCUUCUGCAGCCUGAGAGGGGGUGAUACUCCCACACCCUUUGAUCCUUCCAGAUGGCUCAGCCUAGAUCUAGCAGUGAGAGAGCCCUCUCCAUGCAGGGCAGAUGGAGUGGUGGACACUUGUGAAAACAAAACACUAACUGUUCCAUCCUGUUAUAUUUGCUGUGAGGAAAAUUAAGAUUCCUGUUGUAUGGGCUGCACUGUUUCUGGAAGACUACAGAAAAUCUAACAUGGUUGACACUUCCUGGUAGCCCUUCUGUACAUACACACACACACACCCAGAGAGAAGACAGAGAGAAAAUCCUGGUCCAAAAGAUCACAUGACCUUACUAGUGUUUCCCCAAUGACUGUAAUUUAUAAACUAAAAAUUUUUACAAAUCCACUGCUAUCUUCUUCUGUCCUGAGUUUGGUAGACUUUAAUGGAUGCUCCAGCAAUAACCAGAAUCUAGGACAUGCAGACUCACUGUGAGCGAGAGGCUAGGGAUCUGCCCUAAACAUAGGAACCUGUUUCUAUCAAGCCUGAAUGAGGUCAGCUCUGGUAGAAUUAAUGACAAAUCAAUGUCAGUGAAAUAUUCUGCAAACAGGGUAGCUUUUGUGCUUUCUUUUGAUUAUUUUCUUUGGGGAGAUAAAGGUAUUGCAACCAUGGGUCUAACUAAUCUAUCACUAAAGGACUGUGACGACAUUCUCAAUAAAGACAGUCAUGGUGUUUACUGUGCCAAGGAGGGAAAAUCCCAGAUCAUCAGAAUCCCAGUGCAACAGAAAACAGCACCAGUUUCAACAAUUCUGAUGUUGGACAAAGCCUCUUUUUGUCAGUUAAGAAAGCGUAAGCACAAUCUCUCAGUCAAUUGCAUUAACAGGAAUCCAUUCAUGUCACUGAAAAAUACUUCUUGGCACAGUUCACUUUCCUGACCCAAAGACACCAACAACAAUCAAAACUGCACUUUCAGGGUAGUAUAUUGUUACACUAGCCCAGUCAAAACAUACUCAGAACAUUUAAAAAUGUAUAAAUUACUGUUAGCACUGCAGUUCCGUUUUAUUUUCUUAUUUAUUUAUUAAGACAGAGUCUUACUCUGUUGCCCAGGCUGGAGUGCAGUGGCAUGAUCUUGGCUUACUGCAACCUCUGCCUCCCAGGUUUAAGCAAUUCUCAUGCUUCAGCCUACCAAGUAGCUGGGAUUACAGGAGUGCACCAUCAUGCCCAGCUAAUUUUUGUAUUUUAGUAGAGAUGGGGUUUUGCCAUGUUGGUCAGGCUGGUCUCAAACUCCUGGCCUCAAGUGACCCACCUGCCUUGGCCUCCCAAAGUGCUGGGAUUACAGGUGUGAGCCACUACACCCAGCCCUGCAGUCCCUUUUUAAAGAGUACUGACUGUUUUCCUGCAAAGUACUUUCAAAUCCAUACCAUAAAGGUAGAAUUUAUCUGGAAGAAUGUGUUUUUUGAAUUCCACCUGGCACUUGGUUAAAUCUACUUUAUUUUGCCCUUUAUUUAUUUGAACAGAACUUUAGAAUGCUCUAGGUCAGGAAAAGAAACAGUGUGUUCGUUUUUAAGAAGGAUGUGUGAAUAGUAAGUUGGCAUUCAGACUCAAGUCCCAUGGUAUUGUUCUUAUCCAAUGGGACCUCUCCUUGGGAAUAUAAUUCCUUUCCCAGAGGUAUCAUGGUAUCCCAAGAAUAUAACUGCUCUUUGGCUCUGUGUGUGAAGAUUGGGGGAGAGGAUGUAAACUAAGAGUAUAUAGCAAAAAAAAAAAAAAAAAUUUUUUUUUUUUUUUUUUGAGAUGGAGUUUCACUCUUAUCACCCAGGCUGGACGACAGUGGUGCAAUCUCGGCUCACUGCAACCUCUGCCUCCCAGGUUCAAGCGAUUAUCUCGCCUCAGCCUCCCAAGUAGCUGGGAUUACAGGCGCCCACCUAAUUUCUGCAUUUUUAGUAGAGACGGGGUUUCACCAUGUUGGUCAGGCUGGUCUCAAACUCCUGACCUCAGGUGAUCCACCUGCCUCAGCCUCCCAAAGUGCUGGGAUUACAGGUGUGAGCCACCGUGCCCAGUGAGUAGACAGCAAAAUUUAAAGUUCACCAACUGAUGUUCCCAAAAGUGCUGAACACUAAAUGACACAGGGCUAUGAGGUACAUACAUUUCUUUUAGUAGGAGGGAAAAGUAAAAGCUUUUCAAAGUUUGAGUGCUUUAUUAGAAUUUUUAAAUGAGGCGAACUAUGAUUUUAAUUUCACAUCUUGGCUAAGGAGAUGCCACUGGAGUACAGAGAUAAUCUCCUGUCUUAAGCCACGGAUCAGUCAGUGUAGCCCUCCCUACCCCUCAAUCUCAAGACCCUCUUACUUCCGAACUAAACAACACAAUUGGCAAAUGAAGCCAGCACGAAACUGUAUCAAAAAACAAGAGAGUCUGCAGUGAGCCAGUGUAUUAUGUAACCACUGUAAUAAGUGAUUACGUGGCCUCCCAUAUGGACCUUUCAUAUCCUGGUGGGAGAUGGGAGACCAAUUUAAUAGCUCUGAGCAUGCUCCAUGGUGCAAUCACAAGUGCCAUGCCAAUACAAAGACAAGCAAGCAGGUGAAUUUCCCUAGUGUACUUUUCAGGAACACGGUUACUCAGUUCAGGGACAGGACUACAUUGAUGCACCUGCAAAGUAAAGUUGGAUGCUUCAGAGCACAUGGAUGAUACCCAGGUCAGCACGGUGUAAGGCAUAUAUGGACACAAAGAGAGGCCAUUGUUGGCAAUAAAUAGCAUUACGGAAAAGAUUCCAAACCAGCAGAACAGAAAUGGACCUGAUGCUCCAGUUUUUUAGAUAAGUAAUCCCAAGAAUCCAGUUCCAACUCUACUGUCAACAUGUGGGGCAGAAUUCAAUUUCUAUCAUUGUUUUUACAGAUCUGGGCUGAGGCCAUUUGCUCCUUGCUUGGUUAAAAAAAAAUAAAAAAAUAAAAAAAGGUUUCUUCCUGUUUCUUUCUGGGCAGGGAAAUACAGCUUAAAGAAGGAAAGGCCAUGAGUCCUGGGAGCACUAUGAAGGUAGCUAAACUCUUCCCAUAUCUACAGUCAAUGACUGGGAAAUAGAGAAAGGACAGGGCAACCUGCCCAGCCACUAGCAUCGAAAACAAAAAGGUAUGUUAAUUGUGAGGCUCUCAAUUCUAGAAAUGCCCAAAUUAAAAGAGAAAAAAACCUUGAAAAAUUAAACAAAUUUCUCUUUCUAGAAGUCAUUUAUUUACAUAUUAUAUGUCCGAUAUAUAAUGUGUAGAUAAAUGUAUACUGCAGUGAAAGUGACCACUCUACUGAACUGUACAGCACAUUAUAGGACAAAUUAUUGGAAGUUUUCAUCUCAUACUGGUAUCUUUUAAUAAAAAAAAAAAAUUAAAAAUCAAAGAAAACGUCUGGCCAGGGCCAGGAUAAGACAAACAGGAACACUUCAGAAUCCAAGGCAGGGGAAGGCUGUUGGCCUCUCUUCAGAGGACUGCAGGGGUGGGAAGAGGGAGGGACAGAUCAUGCACAAAAGUACUUACAAAUUACACACCCAACCCCCACCCUCAAUAAAAACAGAAGAAAAAGCCCCAUCACUUAACACCAAACAGCAACAUUAUCAAUACACCCUUUCUUUGCUGCCCACCAUGCCUUAUUUGAAAGAGGAGGCCUGUGAGAAGUGGAAAGAGCCAGGGUGAGAGGGAAGAUUUGCACUUCAGUCUAGUUUCCAAUUUCCAUUUCUCUUACAGGAAGUCUUCAGUCAUCUGAUGCCUGACAUCGAGCUCUGAGCAGAAACCGAGUAUGUGGUGGCCACGACUGGGGUGCCAUUGUUGGCUGAGUAGCCUUGCCUCAAUGUUUCAAAAUAUGAUGCCUGCACGGGUUUGUGAUACUGCAGCACUUUUAUGGCGUCUUCUAUUUUAAACCAUUCCCUCUUCCUUCCUGUGGAGGCAGAGAGAAAAGAAACUAGUACAAGAGUAAUAAGGUUUCUGAGCCUAGAACUUUUGAGAAAAUAUAGAAAACAUUAAAGCAAUGUUUCUUAACACUUUUUUUCCUUACAAAAAUAACUCAAGCACACUUCAUAUGCUUCAAAUAUUAUAUCAAUGUCUAAUGCAGAAAGGUGAGAAACCUGAAAACCAAAGAGCUAAGAGUAAUUGUGUAAAACCUGCCCUCCAGAGAGAACUACGGCUAGUGUUUUCCUCCUGCCCUCCUGCGUCUCUGAGCUUUCCUUGCUUGCACAUACAUAGGGAUCAAAGCCCAGCAGCAUCCCCAUCUCCUGUAAAAACUGACAUGAGGGCCGGAUGAG
RNAcentral lists this long non-coding RNA (10863 nucleotides) under Homo sapiens (human). Its description in RNAcentral is "HSALNT0333926". The record is from RNAcentral. Lineage: Eukaryota; Metazoa; Chordata; Mammalia; Primates; Hominidae.